This 465-nucleotide ribosomal RNA is filed under the name uncultured bacterium. RNAcentral's name for it is "partial 16S ribosomal RNA". It matches the Rfam family "Bacterial small subunit ribosomal RNA", at positions 29 to 507 of the family's 1533-position model. The record is from RNAcentral.
AUGAACGCUGGCGGCGUGCUUAACCCAUGCCAGUCGCACGAUGAAGCCCAGCUUGCUGGGUGGAUUAGUGGCGAACGGGUGAGUAACACGUGAGUAACCUGCCCUUAACUCUGGGAUAAGCCUGGGAAACUGGGUCUAAUACCGGAUAGGAGCGCCUACCGCAUGGUGGGUGUUGGAAAGAUUUAUCGGUUUUGGAUGGACUCGCGGCCUAUCAGCUUGUUGGUGAGGUAAUGGCUCACCAAGGCGACGACGGGUAGCCGGCCUGAGAGGGUGACCGGCCACACUGGGACUGAGAAACGGCCCAGACUCCUACGGGAGGCAGCAGUGGGGAAUAUUGCACAAUGGGCGAAAGCCUGAUGCAGCGACGCCGCGUGAGGGAUGACGGCCUUCGGGUUGUAAACCUCUUUCAGUAGGGAAGAAGCGAAAGUGACGGUACCUGCAGAAGAAGCACCGGCUAACUACGUG